This 899-nucleotide ribosomal RNA is filed under the name Verticillium dahliae. RNAcentral's name for it is "LSU rRNA". It matches the Rfam family "Eukaryotic large subunit ribosomal RNA", at positions 43 to 967 of the family's 3401-position model. The record is from RNAcentral. Lineage: Eukaryota; Fungi; Ascomycota; Sordariomycetes; Glomerellales; Plectosphaerellaceae.
UCAAUAAGCGGAGGAAAAGAAACCAACAGGGAUUGCCUUAGUAACGGCGAGUGAAGCGGCAACAGCUCAAAUUUGAAAUCUGGCUCCUUCGGGGUCCGAGUUGUAAUUUGCAGAGGAUGCUUCGAGUUAUGGUUCCUUCCGAGUUCCCUGGAACGGGACGCCAUAGAGGGUGAGAGCCCCGUCUGGUAGGAAACCAUGCUCAUGUGAAGCUCCCUCGACGAGUCGAGUAGUUUGGGAAUGCUGCUCUAAGGGGAGGUAUACUCCUUCCAAGGCUAAAUACCGGCUAGAGACCGAUAGCGCACAAGUAGAGUGAUCGAAAGAUGAAAAGUACUUUGAAAAGAGAGUCAAACAGCACGUGAAAUUGUUAAAAGGGAAGCGCUCGCUACCAGACGUGGGUUCGGUGGUUCAACCAGGUCCAUGACCUGGGGCACUCCGCCGGCCCAGGCCAGCAUCAGCUUUCCGUCGGGGGCAAAGGCGUCGGGAAUGUGGCUCUCCUUCGGGGGAGUGUUAUAGCCCGUCGCGUCAUACCCUUCGGGGGGCUGAGGUACGCGCUCCGCAAGGAUGCUGGCGUAAUGGUAGCUAGUGACCCGUCUUGAAACACGGACCAAGGAGUCAACCUUAUGUGCGAGUGCCCGGGCGUAAAACCCCAGCGCGGAAUGAAAGUGAACGUAGGUGAGAGCUUCGGCGCAUCACCGACCGAUCCUGAUGUCCUCGGACGGAUUUGAGUGAGAGCAUAUAGGGUUGGACCCGAAAGAAGAUGAACUAUGCGUGUGUAGGGUGAAGCCAGAGGAAACUCUGGUGGAGGCUCGCAGCGGUUCUGACGUGCAAAUCGAUCGUCAAACAUGCGCAUGGGGGCGAAAGACUAAUCGAAUCUUCUGGUAGCUGGUUUCCGCCGAAGU